Gossypium arboreum is the source of this 661-nucleotide long non-coding RNA. RefSeq lists it as uncharacterized. NCBI's taxonomy places the organism in Eukaryota, Viridiplantae, Streptophyta, Magnoliopsida, Malvales, Malvaceae. The transcript has 2 exons. The record is from RefSeq and is a predicted model, not a curated record.
GUAGGAUAAAGUGAAACACUUUUUUAGUUCAUACAUACAUACACAUUUUCAUAGGUUCGUAUGUCAAUGGCUCGGCUGAAGAUGAUUAUGGCUUGUGUUGCCAUAAAUGAUGAAUCUCAAUUGCAAAUUUCCAGAACUAACCACUCUUUAUCAUAAAAUGAUGUUAACUGUUUGUCCUGAUAUGACAUCUUCAUCAUUUUCUGAUGCAGGUGGAGAAACUAGUAUCAGGCCAUAUUGGAGAUGCUAUUUUCCAAAUACUCAAGCAUUAGAAUCUUUGCUGCUAAACGAUCAUGCCGUAGCUAUGAAUCAGUGAACGGUGUUUGACUCAGUAUGAACCCUGAACGGUUGUUCGUGCCCAUAGACCUUCCGAAUUUUCUACCAUCAGCCUCUGGUAUACAUACAGGUAAAAAUUUAUUUAUUUUUGGUUAAACAUGAACAACCUUUCUUUCCCUUGUUCUAUGUUGAAUUUGACUAGCUUUAUGAGUAAAUCAUUUAUAUUUUUGGACUGCAAAAUCCUUUCUUUUUUUUUUCUUGGACUUGCUUCAAACAUGGAACUGUUAAUUAAGAAUUGUUGGGUUUAUUUUAAUUGCUUUGUGACUGUAAUUAGGGUUUAAACCAUGCACUUAUAAUACAGGUUUCAUACUUAGAUUGGAUUGGACUA